CUUUAGUCGAUGCUCCAAACUAGACUUUUGCGCGCAGCAAAUACCGUUAAAACUUUACCCUUCAAAUAAAGGGAAGUUUCCAGCUAUGUCGCAUGUUUUAAUUUUUCUCCAUCGAAAUGUUUCUGAACCCUAGGGUUUCCCCAAAUUAUCUCUAGUUUCUUUCCAAUUUUGAAAUCGUAUAGAAGAGAUUUUUGGCAAGAACAAACGCCAGUUUAAGCCGGUUAGCUGAUUGUGUCCUUCUGCGAGGCGUGUUCGAUUCUUUCAAACGAUCUCCGCUUCUCAUCGAUCUGUUGCUCUUAAUCUCUUGACUCUCCCGGUUAUGGAUCCUUCAAGAGGAUGUUUUUGGGCUGGUUGAGAAAUAAAUAUAUGAUUCCAUCUCUCGGGCAGAUAUGACAUCAAGCUCACUUCAUGGUGCUAUUAUGGAAAAUAUUGUUUUUGCUCUUAGAAAAAUUCCGUAUGAGCUCAUGAAAAUGUUGGAAUAAUAUGUCCAUCUUUUGUAUUCUUUGGGGUAACUUUUAGUAUGAGCUGCUGUACAUAUUGAGUUAAAUCUACUUGAACCAUAUGAGAAGACACCCUCCCCUCCUCUGCAGCCUGUCGAUCCUUACUGAAGAUAUGGGUUGAAAGCAGAAACAACACAAAUCUUUAGGGCUCCUGAAAAACUUUCAGAGAAGGAGCUUUCUCUGGCUUUCUUGGUUCUUACCAUCAUGUCAUUACGUGGAUACUUGAUUGGGCAAUUUUCUUGGGGGAGGGAGUUAUUGGGUGACCCGUGGUUUGAAACAAGGAUUUAUUAGGCUGGAAAAAAGAAGUCUUAACAGCAAGGUUUUGAGGCUAUUAAGCUCUUUGGUGUUUGGCCCGAGUAGGAAAAAGCUUUUGGGUUCAGUAGCAUUCUUGGAGCUUGUUAAGUGAUCUUGACAGUAGGAGUUUGGCAUUUUUAAUUUGUAGUCUUGCUGUUAAGGACCGGUUUGCACAUUGAAAAAAUAAUUUAAACUGUUUGUAGCGAUUGAGGCAGAAAGGAUGAAGAAAAUAGAAGAAGAAGUAGAAU
Hibiscus syriacus is the source of this 1042-nucleotide long non-coding RNA. RefSeq lists it as uncharacterized. The record is from RefSeq and is a predicted model, not a curated record. The transcript is spliced from 3 exons. NCBI's taxonomy places the organism in Eukaryota, Viridiplantae, Streptophyta, Magnoliopsida, Malvales, Malvaceae.